AGGCUUUGAUCCUGGCUCAGGAUGAACGCUGGCGGCGUGCUUAACACAUGCAAGUCGAACGAACCUUCGGGUUAGUGGCGGACGGGUGAGUAACGCGUGAGAAUCUGCCCUCAGGAGGGGGAUAACGGCUGGAAACGGCCGCUAAUACCCCAUAUGCCGAGAGGUGAAACGAGUUUUCGCCUGAGGAUGAGCUCGCGUCUGAUUAGCUAGUUGGUGGGGUAAGAGCUUACCAAGGCAUCGAUCAGUAGCUGGUCUGAGAGGAUGAUCAGCCACACUGGGACUGAGACACGGCCCAGACUCCUACGGGAGGCAGCAGUGGGGAAUUUUCCGCAAUGGGCGAAAGCCUGACGGAGCAACGCCGCGUGAGGGACGAAGGCCUCUGGGCUGUAAACCUCUUUUCUCAAGGAAGAAGAUCUGACGGUACUUGAUGGAAUAAGCCACGGCU
RNAcentral lists this ribosomal RNA (445 nucleotides) under uncultured Synechococcus sp. RNAcentral describes it as "bacterial SSU rRNA". It matches the Rfam family "Bacterial small subunit ribosomal RNA", at positions 8 to 498 of the family's 1533-position model. The record is from RNAcentral. Lineage: Bacteria; Bacillati; Cyanobacteriota; Cyanophyceae; Synechococcales; Synechococcaceae.